Molecule: transfer RNA, 62 nt
Filed under: Diopatra cuprea
Lineage: Eukaryota; Metazoa; Annelida; Polychaeta; Eunicida; Onuphidae
Description: tRNA-Ile
Source: RNAcentral
GAUAUUGGUCCAAGACUAGUAGCUCUGAUACUGCUACAAAGAGAAUAUUUUCUCCAAUAUCU